RNAcentral lists this ribosomal RNA (233 nucleotides) under Escherichia coli. RNAcentral's name for it is "partial 16S ribosomal RNA". It matches the Rfam family "Bacterial small subunit ribosomal RNA", at positions 1 to 230 of the family's 1533-position model. RNAcentral also lists the same sequence under 3 other names. Lineage: Bacteria; Pseudomonadati; Pseudomonadota; Gammaproteobacteria; Enterobacterales; Enterobacteriaceae. The record is from RNAcentral.
AAAUUGAAGAGUUUGAUCAUGGCUCAGAUUGAACGCUGGCGGCAGGCCUAACACAUGCAAGUCGAACGGUAACAGGAAACAGCUUGCUGUUUCGCUGACGAGUGGCGGACGGGUGAGUAAUGUCUGGGAAACUGCCCGAUGGAGGGGGAUAACUACUGGAAACGGUAGCUAAUACCGCAUAACGUCGCAAGACCAAAGAGGGGGACCUUCGGGCCUCUUGCCAUCGGAUGUGC